GGCGGCAGGCCUAAGACAUGCAAGUCGAACGGUAACGACACUAGCUUGCUAGUGGUCGACGAGUGGCGGACGGGUGAGUAACGCGUAGGAAUCUACCUAGUAGUGGGGGAUAGCCAAGGGAAACUUUGGGUAAUACCGCAUACGAUCUAAGGAUGAAAGGGGGCCUCUCUUUGAAGCUCUCGCUAUUAGAUGAGCCUGCGUAAGAUUAGCUUGUUGGUGGGGUAAUGGCCCACCAAGGCGACGAUCUUUAGCUGGUCUGAGAGGAUGAUCAGUCACACUGGAACUGAGACACGGUCCAGACUCCUACGGGAGGCAGCAGUCGGGAAUAUUGGACAAUGGGGGAAACCCUGAUCCAGCCAUGCCGCGUGUGUGAAGAAGGCCCUAGGGUUGUAAAGCACUUUUAGUAGUGAGGAAGGCUCAGUAGUUAAUACCUACUGGGAUUGACGUUAGCUACAGAAAAAGCACCGGCUAAUUUCGUGCCAGCAGCCGCGGUAAUACGAAAGGUGCAAGCGUUAAUCGGAAUUACUGGGCGUAAAGCGCGCGUAGGCGGCUUGGUAAGUUGGAUGUGAAAGCCCCGGGCUCAACCUGGGAACUGCAUCCAAAACUGCCUAGCUAGAGUAUGGUAGAGGAUGGCGGAAUUUCCUGUGUAGCGGUGAAAUGCGUAGAUAUAGGAAGGAACAUCAGUGGCGAAGGCGGCCAUCUGGACCAAUACUGACGCUGA
Molecule: ribosomal RNA, 721 nt
Filed under: gamma proteobacterium IMCC14358
Lineage: Bacteria; Pseudomonadati; Pseudomonadota; Gammaproteobacteria
Description: bacterial SSU rRNA
Rfam family: Bacterial small subunit ribosomal RNA
Source: RNAcentral